Molecule: ribosomal RNA, 433 nt
Filed under: uncultured bacterium
Lineage: Bacteria
Description: partial 16S ribosomal RNA
Rfam family: Bacterial small subunit ribosomal RNA
Source: RNAcentral
AGCGAACGCUGGCGGCAGGCCUAAUACAUGCAAGUCGAGCGGGCACUUCGGUGUCAGCGGCAGACGGGGGAGUAACACGUGGGAACGUACCCUUUGGUUCGGAAUAACGCUGGGAAACUAGCCCUAAUACCGGAUACGCCCUUUUGGGGAAAGGCUUGCUGCCGAAUGAUCGGCCCGCGGCUGAUUAGCUAGUUGGUGGGGUAAUGGCCUACAAAGGCGAAGAUCAGGAGCUGGUCUGAGAGGAUGAUCAGCCACACUAGGACUGAGACACGGCCCAGACUCCUACGGGAGGAAGCAGGGGGGAAUAUUGGACAAUGGGCGCGAGCCUGAUCCAGCCAUGCCGUGUGAGUGAGGAAGGCCUGAGGGUUGUGAAGCUCAUUUGUCCGGGACGAUAAUGACGGUACCGGAAGAAUAAGCCCCGGCUAACUUCGUG